Molecule: ribosomal RNA, 463 nt
Filed under: uncultured bacterium
Lineage: Bacteria
Description: partial 16S ribosomal RNA
Rfam family: Bacterial small subunit ribosomal RNA
Source: RNAcentral
GAUGAACGCUGACCGAAUGCUUAACACAUGCAAGUCUUUGGCGAAGCUGUGCUUGCACCGCCUAGCCAAGGCGGACGGGUGAGUAACGCGUAAGGAACUUGCCCUGCAGUCAGGGAUAACAGACGGAAACGACUGAUAAGACCUGGUAAAGUCAGGCGGACUCAUGUCCAGCCUGAUGAAAAGAGAUGCUGCAGGAGAGCCUUGCGUCCUAUUAGCUUGUUGGUGGGGUAACGGCCCACCAAGGCGAUGAUAGGUAGCCGGCCUGAGAGGGUGGACGGCCACAAGGGGACUGAGAUACGGCCCUUACUCCUACGGGAGGCAGCAGUGGGGAAUAUUGGACAAUGGGGGCAACCCUGAUCCAGCAAUUCUGUGUGCACGAUGAAGGUUUUCGGAUUGUAAAGUGCUUUCAGCAGGGAAGAAAAAAAUGACGGUACCUGCAGAAGAAGCGACGGCUAAAUACGUG